UGAAAUUACAGAAAAUUUAGGGCCUAAUCUGAAAUUACAGAAAAUUUAGGGCCUAAUCUGAAAUUACAGAAAAUUUAGGGCCUAAUCUGAAAUUACAGAAAAUUUAGGGACCUAAUCUGAAGUUACAGAAAAUUAAAGGACCUAAUCUGAAGUUACAGAAAAUUAAGGGAUCAAUAUGAAAUUACAGAAAAUUAAGGGAUUAAUACGAAAAAAACAUAAAAUUAGGGAUCUAAUAUAAAAUUUUCCAGGGACCUAACUGUUAUUUUCCAUCCCUAACCUAAAAAACAAAACGAUAAGGGACGGAAAAUAACAGGUUCCAGCCCCUUUCCGCCGCCAACA
Molecule: long non-coding RNA, 339 nt
Filed under: Jatropha curcas
Lineage: Eukaryota; Viridiplantae; Streptophyta; Magnoliopsida; Malpighiales; Euphorbiaceae
Description: long non-coding RNA (JCUR_LNC002001)
Source: RNAcentral